Molecule: ribosomal RNA, 251 nt
Filed under: uncultured bacterium
Lineage: Bacteria
Description: partial 16S ribosomal RNA
Rfam family: Bacterial small subunit ribosomal RNA
Source: RNAcentral
GACGUAGGGCGCGAGCGUUGUCCGGAUUUAUUGGGCGUAGAGCUCGUAGGCGGCUUGUCGCGUCGUCCGUGAAAACCCACAGCUCAACUGUGGGCUUGCGGUCGAUACGGGCAGGCUAGAGUUCGGUAGGGGAGACUGGAAUUCCUGGUGUAGCGGUGAAAUGCGCAGAUAUCAGGAGGAAUACCCAUAGCGAAGGCAGCUCGCUGGGACGGUACUGACGCUGAGGCGCGAAAGCGUGGGGAGCGAACAGG